AGAAAACAAACUAGCCCAAUUGCACCAAUCAUGUGUAUAAGGAACAGAAAUAGUGAAAACUUGUUUGUGUAGGAUCUUGAAUUCAGUGUUAUUACUGAAGGUUGAGGGGUAACAGCAGGGGUAGAGCGAGUCUGAGAAGGAGCCGGAGAAGGGUGGUGCUGAGACGGAGCUGGAACCGGAGCCGGCUCCGGCACCGGAGCAUGGCGUUGCUGAGACGGCGCCGGAGCCGGAGGAUGACGGUGGUGAAAAGGAUUCGGAAAAGAACGGUGCGGACGAUGUUGAGCAGGUGGCG
This 292-nucleotide unclassified non-coding RNA is filed under the name Hevea brasiliensis (rubber tree). The record is from RNAcentral. Lineage: Eukaryota; Viridiplantae; Streptophyta; Magnoliopsida; Malpighiales; Euphorbiaceae.